This 409-nucleotide ribosomal RNA is filed under the name bacterium. RNAcentral describes it as "partial 16S ribosomal RNA". It matches the Rfam family "Bacterial small subunit ribosomal RNA", at positions 355 to 776 of the family's 1533-position model. The record is from RNAcentral.
UGGGGAAUAUUGCACAAUGGGCGAAAGCCUGAUGCAGCGACGCCGCGUGAGGGAUGACGGCCUUCGGGUUGUAAACCUCUUUCAGUAGGGACGAAGCGCAAGUGACGGUACCUGCAGAAGAAGCACCGGCUAACUACGUGCCAGCAGCCGCGGUAAUACGUAGGGUGCGAGCGUUGUCCGGAAUUACUGGGCGUAAAGAGCUCGUAGGCGGUUUGUCACGUCGUCUGUGAAAUCCUAGGGCUUAACCCUGGACGUGCAGGCGAUACGGGCUGACUUGAGUACUACAGGGGAGACUGGAAUUUCUGGUGUAGCGGUGGAAUGCACAGAUUUCAGGAAGAACACCGAUGGCGAAGGCAGGUCUCUGGGUAGUAACUGACGCUGAGGAGCGAAAGCAUGGGUAGCGAACAGG